Long non-coding RNA from Mauremys reevesii (Reeves's turtle), 176 nucleotides. RefSeq lists it as uncharacterized. The record is from RefSeq and is a predicted model, not a curated record. Lineage: Eukaryota; Metazoa; Chordata; Testudines; Geoemydidae. The transcript is spliced from 3 exons.
CGGCAAUCUUGAACCCUUCAUGAAUCUUUGAGAAAAAACUUACCCUAAAGGACCUCCUUCUCUUGCAGAGUUUAAAGUAUUCAAGAGUGACACACACAACCGUCUGCCAGGCAACCACCAAGAUCACACUCAUCAAGGACUUUCCAGAAGUUAAAUAACACAUCUGAAAAAGAAAC